UAUUUAUUGGGAUUUAUUAAAGUUUUGCGAACUUUUUCUUUGUAUUUAUUAGUAAGAAGCAAAUUUGAGUUGGAUGAAGCAGAAAAUAUUACUUUCGUGGAUGAAUACGGUGCCGAGGUGGACUCUGAUGUUUUCCCAAUUUUGGUCAGCCUAGAUGGGAUUCAAAAUAUCAUAUUCAAGCUAGAAGAAGAGUCGUCAGUAUUGGAAAUUGACCUAAGCUACAAUAAUACAUCGCAAUCAAGUUAUUUUUUACCUGCGGCAGGAAAUAUUGGGCUUUCUCAAUCGUUUGGAAUAGGGGAUAAUUUUAAACAAAUUCUCCAAACCACGGUUCAACAAAACAAUGUAAUACACGGUAUUGUCGAAGAUUGCAAGAGUAAAGGCUUCGUGGACGAUAAAUCUUCGACAAUUCUCAUUAAUGAAUUUGUGUCAAAACUUAUAGAGAUAAAGGGUGCUGGACACCGAGUAUUUUGAUCGGCAUCUGUUUGCCUAUAAAAUUAAGGAGACGGAGAAUAUUUUUAAAGUAGUCAAUGUAAAUAAUCUAAUUACUCAUGAUGCCAUGGAGUUGAAGCAUAAUUGCAAUGUUGCUGGAAAUUUCGUGAUUUCGAGACAUUACUUGUAGUAUUUAGAUAAGUGGUGUAGUAUUAAGAAUUUAGCUGUAAAUUUUGUCAAAUAACAUGUUAAUUAAUAUUUGGGUGCAUAUUUAUUUAU
Molecule: long non-coding RNA, 708 nt
Organism: Folsomia candida
Lineage: Eukaryota; Metazoa; Arthropoda; Collembola; Entomobryomorpha; Isotomidae
Exons: 4
Source: RefSeq, a predicted model, not a curated record